This 99-nucleotide ribosomal RNA is filed under the name Geobacillus stearothermophilus. RNAcentral describes it as "partial 16S ribosomal RNA". It matches the Rfam family "Bacterial small subunit ribosomal RNA", at positions 1442 to 1533 of the family's 1533-position model. Lineage: Bacteria; Bacillati; Bacillota; Bacilli; Caryophanales; Anoxybacillaceae. The record is from RNAcentral.
AAGGGAGCCAGCCGCCGAAGGGGGGGCAAGUGAUUGGGGUGAAGUCGUAACAAGGUAGACGUACCGGAAGGUGCGGCUGGAUCACCGCCUUUCUAAGGA